GUUCAAGCUAAGAAGAGCACAAGGGGAAUGCCUUGGCACCAGGAGCCGAAGAAGGACGCGAUAAGCUGCGAAAAGCUGCGGGGAGGCGCAAAUAGCCGUAAUAUCCGCAGGUGUCCGAAUGGGGAAACCUUACAUGGGUAAGACCAUGUAACCGUAUACUGAAUACAUAGGUAUACGGAGGGAACCCGCCGAACUGAAACAUCUAAGUAGGCGGAGGAAAAGAAAUCAACCGAGAUUUCGCGAGUAGUGGCGAGCGAAAGCGAAAGAGGCCAAACCGGCGAUAGCAAUAUUACCGGGGUAAGGACUGCAAAAAUCGAAUUGGAGAAUAGGAGAAUGACCUGGGAAGGUCAACCGAAGAAGGUGAGAGUCCUGUAACCGAAAUUUGAAGAUAAGAAAGCAGAAUCCGGAGUACGUGCGGACACGAGAAAUCCGCAUGGAAGAAGGGGGGACCACCCUCCAAGCCUAAAUACUAACUGGUGACCGAUAGUGAAGCAGUACUGUGAAGGGAAGGUGAAAAGCACCCCGGAAGGGGAGUGAAAUAGAACCUGAAACCUUGUGUUUACAAGCACACAAAGAGCGUUAAAGCUCGAUGUGGUACUUUUUGUAGAACGGUCCGGCGAGUUUAUGAUUGCAGCAAGGUUAAGCACUUAAGGUGUGGAGCCGAAGGGAAACCGAGUGUUAAAAGCGCGACAAGUUGCAGGCAUAAGACCCGAAACCGGGUGACCUACCCAUGUCCAGGAUGAAGUAGCGGUAAAACGCUAUGGAGGUCCGAACCGACCCCUGUUGAAAAAGUGGCGGAUGAGGUGUGGGUAGCGGAGAAAUUCCAAUCGAACCCGGAUAUAGCUGGUUCUCCCCGAAAUAGCUUUAGGGCUAGCCUUGUGGGGAUAUUAUCGGAGGUAAAGCACUGAAUUGAUACGGGGCCGAGAGGUUACUAAAUCAUAUCAAACUAAGAAUGCCGAAUAAUAAUACACAGGAGUCAGACUACGAGAGAUAAGUCCCGUGGUCAAAAGGGAAACAGCCCAGAUCUACAGCUAAGGUCCCAAAUAUAUGCUAAGUGGAAAAGGAUGUGGCGAUGCACAGACAACCAGGAUGUUGGCUUAGAAGCAGCCACACAUUCAAAGAGUGCGUAAUAGCUCACUGGUCGAGUGACGCUGCGCCGAAAAUUUAACGGGGCUAAGCAUAUAACCGAAGCAUAGGCAGUUGAAAUACACUGGGUAGGGGAGCGUUCUGUACGAGGCGAAGUCGCAGCGGAAGCAGCGGUGGAUUGUACAGAAGUGAGAAUGCCGGAAUGAGUAGCGAGAAUUGCGUGAGAAUCGUAAUGGCCGAAAGUCUAAGGUUUCUAGGGGCAGGUUCGUCCGCCCUAGGUAAGCCGGGAGCUAAGGUGAGGCCGGAAGGCGUAGCCGAUGCACAUACGGUAGAAAUUCCGUAGCCAUCAAAAUAUUUAAAUACACUGACACCGAAAAGGAUUCUGACCCGGGCGAUGGUAGCCCCGGGCGAAAGGGACUGAAAUUAGAGUAGGGAAGCAGGAAAAUGAUCGGGCGAGAAAAGGUGUAUGAAUAUAUGAGAUGUCCGUACCGCAAACCGACACAGGUAGAUGGGAUGAGAAUUCUAAGGCCAACGGGAGAAGGGUUGUUAAGGAACUAGGCAAAAUAACCCCGUAACUUAGGGAGAAGGGGAGCCACAGAAAUGUGGCCGCAGCGAAAAGGCCCAGGCGACUGUUUAGCAAAAACACAGGUCUCUGCAAAACCGAAAGGUGAAGUAUAGGGGCUGACGCCUGCCCGGUGCCGGAAGGUCAAGGGGACGUGUAAGGAGCAAUCCGAAGCACAGAACUUAAGCCCCGGUCAACGGCGGCCGUAACUAUAACGGUCCUAAGGUAGCGAAAUGCCUUGUCAGGUAAGUUCUGACCCGCACGAAUGGCGUAACGAUCUGGGCACUGUCUCAACAGCCCGCCCGGCGAAAUUGUAGUACCGGUGAAGAUGCCGGUUACCCGCGAUUAGACGGAAAGACCCCAUGGAGCUUUACUGCAGCUUGAUACUGAACCUCGGUAUAUUAUGUACAGGAUAGGUGGGAGACAGAGAAGCAUUAACGUCAGUUAGUGUGGAGUCGCCGUUGGGAUACCACUCUUAAUGUACUGGGGUUCUAACCUACACCAUUGAAUCAUGGUGGGGGACAAUGUCAGGUGGGCAGUUUGACUGGGGCGGUCGCCUCCAAAAGAGUAACGGAGGCGCUCAAAGGUUGGCUCAGCACGGACGGAAAUCGUGCAAAGAGUGUAAACGCAAAAGCCAGCCUAACUGUGAGACCAACAAGUCGAACAGUAACGAAAGUUGGAGUUAGUGAUCAGGUGGUAGUGAGUGGAAAUGCCAUCGCUUAACGGAUAAAAGCUACCCUGGGGAUAACAGGCUGAUUUCCCCCAAGCGUUCACAGCGACGGGGAAGUUUGGCACCUCGAUGUCGGCUCAUCACAUCCUGGGGCUUGGAGCAGGUCCCAAGGGUUCGGCUGUCCGCCGAUUAAAGUGGUACGCGAGCUGGGUUCAGAACGUCGUGAGACAGUUCGGUCCCUAUCUGUCGUGGGCGCAGGAUAUUUGAGAGGAGCUGUCCUUAGUACGAGAGGACCGGGAUGGACAUACCUCCGGUGCACCGGUUGUUCCGCCAGGAGCAUAGCCGGGUAGCUGUGUAUGGAAGUGAUAAACGCUGAAAGCAUCUAAGCGUGAAGCACACCUCAAGAUUAGAUAUCCCAUAACAAAAGUUAGUAAGGUCACUUGUAGACUACAAGUUAGAUAGGUCGGAGGUGUAAGUGCAGCAAUGUAUUUAGCUGACCGAUACUAAUAGACCGAGGGCUUGAACUA
This 2845-nucleotide ribosomal RNA is filed under the name Eubacteriales bacterium OttesenSCG-928-G02. Its description in RNAcentral is "23S ribosomal RNA". It matches the Rfam family "Bacterial large subunit ribosomal RNA". The record is from RNAcentral. Lineage: Bacteria; Bacillati; Bacillota; Clostridia; Eubacteriales.